This 451-nucleotide ribosomal RNA is filed under the name Acanthocheilonema spirocauda. RNAcentral describes it as "SSU rRNA". It matches the Rfam family "Eukaryotic small subunit ribosomal RNA", at positions 174 to 620 of the family's 1831-position model. Lineage: Eukaryota; Metazoa; Nematoda; Chromadorea; Rhabditida; Onchocercidae. The record is from RNAcentral.
ACCAAAGCUCCGACUUAUGGACGAGCGCAUCUAUUAGAUUAAAACCAAUCGGGUUAUUGAUUUAGCCCGUAAAUUGGUGACUCUGAAUAGCUAUGGCUGAUCGCAUGGUCUUGUACCGGCGACAUAUCUAUCAAGUGUCUGCCUUAUCAACUUUCGAUGGUAGUUUAUGUGCCUACCAUGGUUGUAACGGGUAACGGAGAAUAAGGGUUCGACUCCGGAGAGGGAGCCUGAGAAACGGCUACCACAUCCAAGGAAGGCAGCAGGCGCGCAAAUUACCCACUCUCAGAAUGAGGAGGUAGUGACGAAAAAUAACGAGACCGUUCUCUUUGAGGCCGGUUAUCGGAAUGGGUACAAUUUAAACCUGUUAACGAGGAUCUAUGAGAGGGCAAGUCUGGUGCCAGCAGCCGCGGUAAUUCCAGCUCUCAAAGUGUAUAUCGUCAUUGCUGCGGUU